Molecule: ribosomal RNA, 363 nt
Filed under: uncultured bacterium
Lineage: Bacteria
Description: bacterial SSU rRNA
Rfam family: Bacterial small subunit ribosomal RNA
Source: RNAcentral
GACGAACGCUGGCGGCGUGCUUAACACAUGCAAGUCGAGCGGUAAGGCCCUUUUGGGGGUACACGAGCGGCGAACGGGUGAGUAACACGUGGGUGACCUGCCCUCAGCUCUGGGAUAAGCCUGGGAAACUGGGUCUAAUACUGGAUAUGACCUUUCCUCGCAUGGGGUUGGGUGGAAAGUUUUUCGGCUGGGGAUGGGCCCGCGGCCUAUCAGCUUGUUGGUGGGGUGAUGGCCUACCAAGGCGACGACGGGUAGCCGGCCUGAGAGGGCGACCGGCCACACUGGGACUGAGACACGGCCCAGACUCCUACGGGAGGCAGCAGUGGGGAAUAUUGCGCAAUGGGCGGAAGCCUGACGCAGCGA